RNAcentral lists this ribosomal RNA (253 nucleotides) under uncultured bacterium. RNAcentral's name for it is "partial 16S ribosomal RNA". It matches the Rfam family "Bacterial small subunit ribosomal RNA", at positions 524 to 776 of the family's 1533-position model. The record is from RNAcentral.
UACGGAGGGUGCAAGCGUUAUCCGGAUUUACUGGGUUUAAAGGGUGUGUAGGCGGGCUUUUAAGUCAGUGGUGAAAUCUCCGGGCUCAACCUGGAAACUGCCAUUGAUACUAUUAGUCUUGAAUUUUGUUGAGGUAGGCGGAAUAAGUCAUGUAGCGGUGAAAUGCAUAGAUAUGACUUAGAACACCAAUUGCGAAGGCAGCUUGCUAAACAAAUAUUGACGCUGAGGCACAAAAGCGUGGGGAUCAAACAGG